UUCACCUUUAAUGGCAGUCCAGAGAGGCUGAGAAGGUACAUGUGAUAGUGUUGUGAAAAUUUGUGAUGCAAAUUUUACAACGCCCUAUUAAAACACGUAUAUAACCCUCUCGAGCCAUGCGCUUUGAGAGGUUUUUUUUAU
Molecule: non-coding RNA, 141 nt
Organism: Lysinibacillus contaminans
Lineage: Bacteria; Bacillati; Bacillota; Bacilli; Caryophanales; Bacillaceae
Source: Rfam